GGGCCGCUAGCUCAACUGGUAGAGCAGCUGACUCUUAAUCAGCAGGUUCAGAGUUCGAGACUCUGGCGGCUCA
This 73-nucleotide transfer RNA is filed under the name Chloroflexota bacterium. Its description in RNAcentral is "Chloroflexi bacterium (groundwater metagenome) tRNA-Lys". It matches the Rfam family "tRNA". From Rfam's summary of the family: Transfer RNA (tRNA) molecules are approximately 80 nucleotides in length. Their secondary structure includes four short double-helical elements and three loops (D, anti-codon, and T loops). Further hydrogen bonds mediate the characteristic L-shaped molecular structure. tRNAs have two regions of fundamental functional importance: the anti-codon, which is responsible for specific mRNA codon recognition, and the 3' end, to which the tRNAs corresponding amino acid is attached (by aminoacyl-tRNA synthetases). tRNAs cope with the degeneracy of the genetic code in two manners: having more than one tRNA (with a specific anti-codon) for a particular amino acid; and 'wobble' base-pairing, i.e. permitting non-standard base-pairing at the 3rd anti-codon position. The record is from RNAcentral. Lineage: Bacteria; Bacillati; Chloroflexota.